This 412-nucleotide ribosomal RNA is filed under the name uncultured bacterium. RNAcentral describes it as "bacterial SSU rRNA". It matches the Rfam family "Bacterial small subunit ribosomal RNA", at positions 29 to 484 of the family's 1533-position model. The record is from RNAcentral.
AACGAACGCUGGCGGCAGGCUUAACACAUGCAAGUCGAACGGGUGUAGCAAUACAUCAGUGGCAGACGGGUGAGUAACACGUGGGAACCUUCCUCGUUGUACGGAACAACUCAGGGAAACUUGAGCUAAUACCGUAUACGUCCGAGAGGAGAAAGAUUUAUCGCAAUGAGACGGGCCCGCGUCGGAUUAGCUAGUUGGUAGGGUAACGGCCUACCAAGGCGACGAUCCGUAGCUGAUCUGAGAGGAUGAUCAGCCACACUGGGACUGAGACACGGCCCAGACUCCUACGGGAGGCAACAGUGGGGAAUCUUGGACAAUGGGCGCAAGCCUGAUCCAGCCAUGCCGCGUGAGUGAAGAAGGCCUUAGGGUUGUAAAGCUCUUUUGCCAGGGACGAUAAUGACGGUACCUGGAG